GAUGAACGCUAGCGGCAGGCUUAACACAUGCAAGUCGAGGGGUAUUUAUCUUCGGAUAGAGAGACCGGCGAACGGGUGCGUAACGCGUAUGCAAUCUACCUUUUACAGAGGGAUAGCCCAGAGAAAUUUGGAUUAAUACCUCAUAGUAUAUAGACUCGGCAUCGAGAUUAUAUUAAAGUCACAACGGUAAAAGAUGAGCAUGAGUCCCAUUAGCUAGUUGGUAAGGUAACGGCUUACCAAGGCUACGAUGGGUAGGGGUCCUGAGAGGGAGAUCCCCCACACUUGUACUGAGACACGGACCAGACUCCUACGGGAGGCAGCAGUGAGGAAUAUUGGACAAUGGGCGCAAGCCUGAUCCAGCCAUGCCGCGUGCAGGAUGACGGUCCUAUGGAUUGUAAACUGCUUUUAUACGAGAAGAAACACUGCUACGUGUAGCAGCUUGACGGUAUCGUAAGAAUAAGAAUCGGCUAACUCCGUG
Molecule: ribosomal RNA, 478 nt
Filed under: uncultured bacterium
Lineage: Bacteria
Description: partial 16S ribosomal RNA
Rfam family: Bacterial small subunit ribosomal RNA
Source: RNAcentral